Molecule: ribosomal RNA, 800 nt
Filed under: uncultured bacterium
Lineage: Bacteria
Description: bacterial SSU rRNA
Rfam family: Bacterial small subunit ribosomal RNA
Source: RNAcentral
AGAGUUUGAUCAUGGCUCAGGACGAACGCUGACGGUGUGCUUUAGACAUGCAAGUCGAACGAGAAAGCCCUUCGGGGUGAGUACAGUGGCGAACGGGUGAGUAACACGUGGGUAACCUACCCCUCGCAGGGGGAUAACCGGGGGAAACCCCGGCUAAUACCCCGUACGCUCAGAGGUUCGCAUGGACCUCUGAGGAAAGGUAGCUUCGGCCAUCCGGCGAGGGAUGGGCCCGCGGUGCAUUAGCUAGUUGGUGGGGUAACGGCCCACCAAGGCUACGAUGCAUAGCUGGUCUGAGAGGAUGAUCAGCCACACUGGGACUGAGACACGGCCCAGACUCCUACGGGAGGCAGCAGUCGGGAAUCUUGCGCAAUGGGCGAAAGCCUGACGCAGCAACACCGUGUGAGCGACGAAGGCCUUCGGGUCGUAAAGCUCUGUUGUUGGGGACGAAGGGUUAGGGGUUAAUAGCCCCGAGCCUGACGGUACCCUUCGAGGAAGCCCCGGCUAACUACGUGCCAGCAGCCGCGGUAAUACGUAGGGGGCGAGCGUUGUCCGGAAUUAUUGGGCGUAAAGAGCGUGUAGGCGGUUCGGUAAGUCUGCCGUGAAAACCCAGGGCUCAACCCUGGGCGUGCGGUGGAUACUGCCGGGCUAGAGGGUGGUAGAGGCGAGUGGAAUUCCCGGUGUAGCGGUGAAAUGCGCAGAUAUCGGGAGGAACACCAGUAGCGAAGGCGGCUCGCUGGGCCACACCUGACGCUGAGACGCGAAAGCGUGGGGAGCAAAAGGAUUAGAUACCCUAGUAGUCC